Molecule: non-coding RNA, 298 nt
Filed under: Cyanidium sp. THAL103
Lineage: Eukaryota; Rhodophyta; Bangiophyceae; Cyanidiales; Cyanidiaceae
Source: RNAcentral
GGGACUGUUAGGUUUUUGACAUUUUAUCAUUAUACCAAUUAACUCAAAUAAUUUUUAAAUAUAAAUGCAAAUAAUAUUAUUCCUUUUUCCUAUAGUUCUUUAAUCAAUAAAUUAUAAGAAUUUUAAUAGUUAAAAAUCAUAUAUUUAAUUAAGUAAAAAUAUUUGAUCAAAUUGUCAACUUUGCCCUCUUAUAAUUUUACGAGGUAAGAUUUUAUUACAUAUGUAUAAAGUAGAUUUACUAUCAUUUUAUUUGGUAUCUUGAUAAUUAUGGACGUGGGUUCAAAUCCCACCAGUUCCA